AUUGGUGACUUCAAUGAGAUACUGACGAGUACAGAGAAAACAGGAGGUGCAGCUCGACCCCAACACUAUCUAGAUGGCUUCCGGGAGGCUAUGCAAGCUUGUGAACUGGAGGACAUUGGGUUCGAAGGAGAUAUGUACACAUGGAGGAACCAUAAUAUCUGCGAGAGGCUCGACAGAGCCAUAGCAAAUGAGGAGUGGUGCACGCAUUUCCCGAACCAUUCAGUCAUCAAUGGACCGCCUAUACAUUCUGAUCAUCGACCUAUCGUG
RNAcentral lists this ribosomal RNA (267 nucleotides) under Triticum aestivum (bread wheat). Its description in RNAcentral is "partial small subunit ribosomal RNA". The record is from RNAcentral. Lineage: Eukaryota; Viridiplantae; Streptophyta; Magnoliopsida; Poales; Poaceae.